UGACCGCUGGCGGCGUGCCUAAUACAUGCAAGUCGAGCGAACAGAUGAGGAGCUUGCUCCUCUGACGUUAGCGGCGGACGGGUGAGUAACACGUGGAUAACCUACCUAUAAGACUGGGAUAACUUCGGGAAACCGGAGCUAAUACCGGAUAAUAUAUUGAACCGCAUGGUUCAAUAGUGAAAGACGGUUUUGCUGUCACUUAUAGAUGGAUCCGCGCCGCAUUAGCUAGUUGGUAAGGUAACGGCUUACCAAGGCAACGAUGCGUAGCCGACCUGAGAGGGUGAUCGGCCACACUGGAACUGAGACACGGUCCAGACUCCUACGGGAGGCAGCAGUAGGGAAUCUUCCGCAAUGGGCGAAAGCUUGACGGAGCAACGCCGCGUGAGUGAUGAAGGUCUUCGGAUCGUAAAACUCUGUUAUUAGGGAAGAACAAAUGUGUAAGUAACUAUGCACGUCUUGACGGUACCUAAUCAGAAAGCCACGGCUAACUACGUG
RNAcentral lists this ribosomal RNA (495 nucleotides) under uncultured bacterium. RNAcentral describes it as "partial 16S ribosomal RNA". It matches the Rfam family "Bacterial small subunit ribosomal RNA", at positions 30 to 507 of the family's 1533-position model. The record is from RNAcentral.